CCUACGGGAGGCAGCAGUGGGGAAUAUUGGGCAAUGGGCGCAAGCCUGACCCAGCAACGCCGCGUGAAGGAAGAAGGCUCUCGGGUUGUAAACUUCUUUUAUCAGGGACGAAGCAAGUGACGGUACCUGAUGAAUAAGCCACGGCUAACUACGUGCCAGCAGCCGCGGUAAUACGUAGGUGGCAAGCGUUAUCCGGAUUUACUGGGUGUAAAGGGCGUGUAGGCGGGAAAGCAAGUCAGAUGUGAAAACCAUGGGCUCAACCUGUGGCCUGCAUUUGAAACUGUUUUUCUUGAGUACUGGAGAGGCAGACGGAAUUCCUAGUGUAGCGGUGAAAUGCGUAGAUAUUAGGAGGAACACCAGUGGCGAAGGCGGUCUGCUGGACAGCAACUGACGCUGAGGCGCGAAAGCGUGGGGAGCAAACAGGAUUAGAUA
This 432-nucleotide ribosomal RNA is filed under the name uncultured bacterium. Its description in RNAcentral is "bacterial SSU rRNA". It matches the Rfam family "Bacterial small subunit ribosomal RNA", at positions 338 to 784 of the family's 1533-position model. The record is from RNAcentral.